AUUGAACGCUGGCGGCAGGCUUAACACAUGCAAGUCGAGCGGGGUGAUGGUGCUUGCACUAUCACUUAGCGGCGGACGGGUGAGUAAUGCUUAGGAAUCUGCCUAUUAGUGGGGGACAACAUCUCGAAAGGAAUGCUAAUACCGCAUACGUCCUACGGGAGAAAGCAGGGGAUCACUUGCGACCUUGCGCUAAUAGAUGAGCCUAAGUCGGAUUAGCUAGUUGGUGGGGUAAAGGCCUACCAAGGCGACGAUCUGUAGCGGGUCUGAGAGGAUGAUCCGCCACACUGGGACUGAGACACGGCCCAGACUCCUACGGGAGGCAGCAGUGGGGAAUAUUGGACAAUGGGGGGAACCCUGAUCCAGCCAUGCCGCGUGUGUGAAGAAGGCCUUAUGGUUGUAAAGCACUUUAAGCGAGGAGGAGGCCCUUUUGGUUAAUACCCAAGAUGAGUGGACGUUACUCGCAGAAUAAGCACCGGCUAACUCUGUGCCAGCCGCCGCGGUAA
This 503-nucleotide ribosomal RNA is filed under the name uncultured bacterium. Its description in RNAcentral is "partial 16S ribosomal RNA". It matches the Rfam family "Bacterial small subunit ribosomal RNA", at positions 30 to 523 of the family's 1533-position model. The record is from RNAcentral.